Lepidothrix coronata (blue-crowned manakin) is the source of this 787-nucleotide long non-coding RNA. RefSeq lists it as uncharacterized. NCBI's taxonomy places the organism in Eukaryota, Metazoa, Chordata, Aves, Passeriformes, Pipridae. The transcript has 4 exons. The record is from RefSeq and is a predicted model, not a curated record.
AUUCUGGCAGUAAAAUAAGACUGAGACAACUGGAGAUUUAAUUAGCUUUUACAGUUCUUGUAAAGAAAACACUUCCUUAUUAAGUAACAAAUACAGGUGUAAUUAAGUCUGUUCUGAAAUUAAGUAGGAAUUAACAGCUGUUCUGAUUUCUGUCUGCAUACACAGGCCUGAGAAGCCAUUUGAGGUUCUCCCUUACCCGGUGCUGUAUGCAUGCACGGAGCCACCUGGAGGCAGCAUUCACACAGCUUGCUACAGGCCUGUCUUUGGAGAGUACACUUUGCUGGGGUUUCAUCAUACAGAAAAAAGCUAAGAAGAAAUUACAUAAUAUUCAGCCUUACUGGACACAGAAGCUCUGAGGUGAAGUUGACCAAAAUAUAUGGGAAGUACAUCUGCAGAUUCCUAAUGCUGGGAUGUAAUUGAUUGCUAUCUGUCUCAGGAGCUGUACCUAUAGAGGUAAAAAAAGCAUAGAGAUAGGAAGAGAUCUGAUGGAGGUGAUCUCUGGAUUUAUGAUGAACUAUAGACUCAGAGGCCGCAGGGAAAGGAUGAACGAACAAGGUUGUGGUGAGCAGAGUGACGGGAUAACAGAGCUGAUGGGAAGGAUGUGGAAGGAGAGGAAUAGAAAGUGAAAAGGUAAAGGAAAAGCACACCUCAAAGGGUAGGAGGCACGAGAGCAGCAUAACUGGAAAGAAAAGACCAGGGACUGAAGAAGAAACUUUAAGGAAUAAAAAUAUGGGAAUGAAAGAAUAAAAAUCCUCCCACUCCUUAAUGCACAUCUGCAGGAGAUGAA